Molecule: ribosomal RNA, 249 nt
Filed under: Neogloboquadrina pachyderma
Lineage: Eukaryota; Foraminifera; Rotaliida; Globorotaliidae
Description: partial 18S ribosomal RNA
Rfam family: Eukaryotic small subunit ribosomal RNA
Source: RNAcentral
ACCACAAGAACGCGUGGAGCAUGUGGCUUAAUUUGACUCAACGCGGGAAAUCUUACCGGGUCCGGACACACUGAGGAUUGACAGGCAAUAUCUCAUGGUUAUUAACCCGGUUAUUACAUUUUGUUUAAUCGGUUAUUAAGCAUCGAGUGUUAAAUAUGCUAUCCUUUCAUGAUUAUGUGAUAGGUGGUGCAUGGCCGUUCUUAGUUCGUGGAGUGAUCUGUCUGCUUAAUUGCGUUUCACUAAGGGCCC